This 375-nucleotide ribosomal RNA is filed under the name uncultured bacterium. RNAcentral's name for it is "bacterial SSU rRNA". It matches the Rfam family "Bacterial small subunit ribosomal RNA", at positions 28 to 407 of the family's 1533-position model. The record is from RNAcentral.
GACGAACGCUGGCGUCGUGCUUAACACAUGCAAGUCGAACGGUGAAGCCCUUCGGGGUGGAUCAGUGGCGAACGGGUGAGUAACACGUGAGCAAUCUGCCCUUGACUCUGGGAUAACUUCGGGAAACCGGAGCUAAUACCGGAUAUGACGCACGGAGGCAUCUUCUGUGUGUGGAAAGAUUUAUCGGUCAGGGAUGAGCUCGCGGCCUAUCAGCUUGUUGGUGGGGAAUGGCCUACCAAGGCGACGACAGGUAGCCGGCCUGAGAGGGUGACCGGCCACACUGGGACUGAGACACGGCCCAGACUCCUACGGGAGGCAGCAGUGGGGAAUAUUGCGCAAUGGGCGGAAGCCUGACGCAGCGACGCCGCGUGGGGA